AAUAGAUUAGAUUAGAUCCCCACACAUUCAGUACAAUAAUCCUAAAUAGAAAGUGUUUGGAGAAAUAAAAAUGCUUUCUCUGUUGCCAAUGUUGACUUGGUAAUAAUAGAAUGAAUAUCAUUGAUACUUAUGCACAGAAAGAAAAACCCAAAUAAGAUUUCAUAGAAAUUCAAGAACAAUGUUUGAUGAGAAUUUCGUUGUUUUUGGUUUCUUAGCCAUCAGGAUUUUAAUUUGUAUUGAAGAAGCUCAACAAAAACUCCAUCAAUUUGAAGAUGCAAACGUUGAUUGGCAAGGAAAGCCAGAGGGCACGUGCCUCACGCCACCGAGGUCCAGCACACAGGUGGGAAAAAAAAGGGACAGGUGGGGAAAACGAGGCACAGAGAACCCAGGAGGAACCCAAAGCAGAAUCGCAAAUCCUGGAAUGCGGCAGAAAGAUGGGCAGAUGGGACUCCACGGUGUUGGGUCAGACAGUGGUGAAGGAAAUGGACCACCUUCUUUCACAAAGGUCUGCAGCAAUGGGACAAGGGAAAGCAAGGAGAACACAGGCCCACGUCAAGGAGAAGUGCCCGGGUUUACCCAGCCUGAGCCGCAGACUCCGUCCUGGGCCUGGGCAGCGCUCACCGUGAUGCCCUCCCUCCAUAUCGAGACAGUGGGAUCCACAGGGAAAGUCCUUCCACAGCCCUGACUGAGCUCCCAGGCUGCAGGCAUGUCCAGCAGAGCCCUGGGAACGCUGUCUGAAGGUCAGGUGGGGGCAGCGGCUUGGGGUCUGCAGCCUGCCUCUCCAGGGCCAGCAGUUUCCAGCUCAGUGUCCCUCUGCUUCCUGGCCUUGCGCCAGGCUUAGUUUUCUCUGUCAACCCAUCCCACUCUGAGGCCUGAUGUCGAAGUCGUCCCACCCUGAGCCAAAUCCUUCCCAUCACCCCUCUUUCCUUUUCUGAUGACGGUCCAACAUGGGAGCAUUCCAACCGGCGGUUCUGACCUGUCCCUCCGUGGCUGGGUGUCCAGUGGGAUCUCAGGUGAGCAGCUCCAUUUGUCCAAGUCAAGGCAUCGAGACUGGGUUUGAAAGAUUGCUCUUCUCCACGACUUCCUUGCCUCACAGGGGACUUGUGCCAUCCUUGGGACGGCACCAGCUGUUUUAACAUGGCCCACAACAUUGGGAGACAUGAAGGUGGGGCUCUCACUCUCUCAAAGUGGGGGCUGCUGGCUCAGGGGCCAGGAGUUCCUCUUAAGAAAAGGAAAAAUCCAGGUAAUUCCGUGCAGUGGCAAAGCAGACUGGGAAUGAGUUUUGUUGUUUGUUUGGGGAGGGAACACUAGUUUUAUUCAGUGAAAUGGUGCUUUACCAUCAAGGAAAGACUACCUGGUGGAAUGUUCCAGAACAGGCAGACUUUUGACCCCCUCUGCUGCUUAUGACCUCUUGUUCUCUGCUGUCAAGAAAACCACUUUUUUUUUUCUUUUGAGGAAAUUGAACAAAAUUAAAUGGAACUGUGUGGGCAGACAACACCUCAGUGUGUUAUUGGGGACAGAUUAGGAUCUAUAGGCUUCCUGGACGACCUUGGAUUUCACACAGUUCAGACACUUCAACACAACCCUGCUUUAAGUGACGAAUGGCUUCCUGCAUGCAGGCCCUGCCCUGGACACUGGUUAGAGCCACACCAUCUGCUGGGCACUGGUAGAACCACAUUGGCUACUGCAAAACAUAAGACUGUUUUCCUGUGGUCCUCUCACAAGAAAAGUGAGGCCUCAGUAUUGGUGGGCAAAUUGAGAAAACAAAACACAUAUAACUUGUCAUUUAGAAAAUGGAGAAGGCCACCUGAUGUGUUACACUGAGUUUUCAGAAGAGAACAUAUUACACGUGUUAGCCCUCCAGCUCACCUUUAUGCUGAAUUUAAGAGAGUAUCCUUUGGGAUAUCAUAACAGCCUGGGUCAGAUGAUAAACAUCGACCUUCAAAUGUCAGGGCAGUGGCCAGAACUAUGGCAGCUUGAUUACCUGAAAAAGCUUCACACUGCAAAUAUUUAGAAAAGCUGCAUAGUAUUUUUUUUUUCCAAAAAUGCAUUGGUGAUUCUUUAUGGAAAUAUCAGAAACAUGUAACCCAAUGCGGAGGCAGGUAGGGGUGAAGUGGAUUUUGGUUUAAAAAAUAUGAAAGUCUAAUUUUCAUGGCCCAUAAGAGAUAAGAAUUGAGAUCUUGGAGCUACAUAAAUAAGAGUGGGAACUGAGGGUCUCUGAUUGGGGUAUGACUCUGUGAAGAUAGGAUCAGGAAAUUACCUGGGCAGCAGAACAGGAUUAUAAGGAAGUCAGUCUCUUUGUGCCUGAAUUCAGGUAUGAAGAGAGAAAUCUCCCCCAAAUUCAUAAUACAGCCCUUUCCUAAGCACAGGAUCCUGGCUCAAAUUCUCACUUCCCACUCUGCCCUGGAAUUCCUUGGAUAAGAAAUGAGUAUACUAAUUGUUCCAUACCUGUGUGUCCCUUUGGAAUUUGAGAAAAGCAGAGAUAAAAUCUCUUUUGAGAAACACUCUCAUAACAGAGCACAUGGGAAAAAAAGUAAAUCUCAAUAUUAAAAAUUAAAAUAUAUGAGGAUGAAAUAUCCUGCACUCAAAGGUCAGCAGGCACAACAUGCGUAGCAGUGUUAAAACCAGAGUAACCCGGGAUAAAUAAAUAACAGUCUGAAAGAGAAUAUAAAGUAAGUGUGUUUAAAAUGAUUCCAGUUAUAGGCUAAAAAAUAGAUACUAGUAAAAAGGAAUAAAAUAAACAGAUUGUAAAAGAAUAAGCUAAAUCUUUGAGAAAUAAAAUGUAAUCAUUGAAAUUAAAAAUCUCAAUUGGCAGAUAAGCAAAGAAGUGAUAUGGUUGGAGAGAAGAUUAGUGAUCUGGAAGAUACAUAUAAGGAAGAAUACUUAGAACAUAGAGAAAAAAAUGUAAUAUAUGAUAUACAACUUUCAUGUGUUUUUAUAGAGUAUUAUAGAAAGGAAAUAGAAAAAAAAUAGGGAAGAGUAAACAUUCAAAUAAAUGAUUGCUGAGAAUUCUCCAGUACUCUUCAAGGACAGAUCCAAGAAAUAUACUGAGUCCUAAACAGGAAAACCACACGUGGGCACAUUGAAGUGAAUCUACAGAAUGCUAAACCAAAGAUAAAAUAGUAAAAAGCACCAGAGAGAAAAGCAGAACAACUACAAAGGAACAGCAAAUUAUGUAGUACAGAUUUCUUAAAAAAUAAUAAUCAGGAAAUGGUGAAAUAAUGUAGUUAAAAUACGCAGAGGAAAAAAUAUUGCAAAAUUUUAUAUGCAAAUAAGCUGCUAUUCACAGGCAAGAAUGAAAUAAUAUUUUUGUUCACACAAAACCUUAAUAAGAACCACAAACUUUUAAAUAUGGACUUUAAUUUUAAAAAUUAAACAUAAAGAGAAUAAAAAUAUGACAAGAGACUAUGGUAAAUAAAUAAUUGGUAAACAUAUAGGUACAUCUAACAAGUAUUGACAAGGUAAAAUAACUAUAGGUGACUUAGGGACUAUUUUAAUUUGCAAAUAAAUAUAAAAUAUACCAAUGAGGUCCAACUGAACUCUUAGAUAACUAUUGUAUUGAAAGUGCGAGGGAACAAUUGGACGUAAAGGAAACUCAAAUAUUUCUAUAGUUGGUAAAAAUGGCUAAGAAAUUCAUUAAUAUUAGAAUCAAGUAUGUCUGCUAAAGUGUCACCAAAGAACAGAAGGACAAUCUGUAACUUACAAAAAAGUGGAAAGGAAAGGAGGGUCUGGACAGGGAUAAAUAAAAUCUUAAUUUGUGGAAGAAAACAGGAGAGGAGAAGAAAUAAGUGUCCUGUUUUGAUUUUUUCGUAGAAAACAGCAUUUUUGUUACAUGCACAUAAAUGAGUGAGAAGUUUUGUGUCACCAUCUGCUGACAUACCCAGGAGUUUAAAAAUUAAUGCAGUGAACACAGCAGCUGGCAGCACCUCCUUCUACGGCUUUUCCAGGCCCUUUGAGCGUCCCUUGCUUCCCUUCUACACUCUCUCGGUAACGUUAUUAGCAGGUUUGCUAAAAACAAACCCAUGAACCCUCGCAUGGUAAUGCCGGUGUUCACCAGGCCGCACGUUCUUGGCUGCCCCGUGGAAGACAGGAACACAGUCGGCUCCGAGUCUGUGACAGGGAAUCCCCUAGCACCAGGGUCUGGAUGAGGCCUCGCCAGGCUGACUGUGCUCAUAGACACUACUGCCUCCUACUGGUUACCGAGCGGCCAUACAAGUCAGUUUCCCCGCUGUGGAGGUGAAUGGCAAUGACACUCUCCCUAGAGGAUGGUUGUGAGGAAGUCACCAGCGCAGCUGGUGUUGUCGUUCAUUACUUAUCAGUCACACCCCCGAGCUCCAUAGAUGUAUUGCAAUAAAAAUAAAUAAUAACAACAAUUAAUAAAAUAACAAUGGUAGCAAUGAUUACUGUUAUAUUUUUAUGAUUAUUACAUGGUGUAUGUUAUGCUAAACUAUUCCCACAUGCAUGUUGGUUUGGAUGCUGAAGGUCCCCUAGAGUUAGAUGAGUUGAAGACUUGGUCCCAGGUGGCACAACUGGGAGGUGCUGUGGACUCUUGGGUGCUGGAGAGUAAUGGAAAAUCCUAAGGCCCAUUUCAAAGGGAAUUGUAGGAUCCUGGAUCCUUCCUGCCUCUGUUUGCUCUUGCCAUGAUGUGCUGCCUCAUCACAGGCCCAAAGUGAUGGAGCUCUCUGUGAGCAUCUAAAACUAUGGACCCAAAUAAACCUUUUCUCUUUUUAAGUUAAUUGCCUCAUGUAUUUUGUUAGAGUAACACAAAACUGAGUAUUAUACUGCAUAUUAACUAAUUCAUUAACUCAUCCUCCAAACAACCACUUUGAAUAGUAUUUAUUACAUCCCUGUUUUUUUUAAUAUUUAUUUUUUGGUUAG
Molecule: long non-coding RNA, 4878 nt
Filed under: Marmota monax (woodchuck)
Lineage: Eukaryota; Metazoa; Chordata; Mammalia; Rodentia; Sciuridae
Source: RNAcentral